GAUGAACGCUAGCUACAGGCUUAACACAUGCAAGUCGAGGGGAAACGACAUCGAAAGCUUGCUUUUGAUGGGCGUCGACCGGCGCACGGGUGAGUAACGCGUAUCCAACCUGCCCACCACUUGGGGAUAACCUUGCGAAAGUAAGACUAAUACCCAAUGAUAUCCCACGAAGACAUCUGAAUGGGAUUAAAGAUUUAUCGGUGAUGGAUGGGGAUGCGUCUGAUUAGCUUGUUGGCGGGGUAACGGCCCACCAAGGCAACGAUCAGUAGGGGUUCUGAGAGGAAGGUCCCCCUCAUUGGAACUGAGACACGGUCCAAACUCCUACGGGAGGCAGCAGUGAGGAAUAUUGGUCAAUGGGCGAGAGCCUGAACCAGCCAAGUAGCGUGCAGGAAGACGGCCCUAUGGGUUGUAAACUGCUUUUAUAAGGGAAUAAAGUGGGUCACGUGUGACUUUUUGCAUGUACCUUAUGAAUAAGGGCCGGCUAAUUCCGUG
This 492-nucleotide ribosomal RNA is filed under the name uncultured bacterium. Its description in RNAcentral is "partial 16S ribosomal RNA". It matches the Rfam family "Bacterial small subunit ribosomal RNA", at positions 28 to 507 of the family's 1533-position model. The record is from RNAcentral.